Molecule: ribosomal RNA, 550 nt
Filed under: uncultured bacterium
Lineage: Bacteria
Description: bacterial SSU rRNA
Rfam family: Bacterial small subunit ribosomal RNA
Source: RNAcentral
UCGAGAAUCUUUCGCAAUGGGCGCAAGCCUGACGAAGCGACGCCGUGUGUGCGAAGAAGGCUUUCGGGUCGUAAAGCACUUUCGCCUGGGAACAAGAGAAGAUGGCUAAUAUCCAUCUAAUUUGAGCGUACCAGGUAAAGAAGCACCGGCUAACUACGUGCCAGCAGCUGCGGUAAUACGUAGGGUGCAAGCGUUAAUCGGAUUUAUUGGGCGUAAAGGGCGUGUAGACGGGGGAUUAAGUCAGAUGUGAAAUCCCGGGGCUCAACCUCGGAACUGCAUUUGAAACUAAUCCUCUAGAGGAUGGACGGAGAAAACGGAAUUCCACAAGUAGCGGUGAAAUGCGUAGAUAUGUGGAAGAACACCGGUGGCGAAAGCGGUUUUCUAGUUUAUUCCUGACGUUGAGGCGCGAAAGCUAGGGGAGCAAACAGGAUUAGAUACCCUGGUAGUCCUAGCUGUAGACGAUGUAUACUUGGUGUAACCGGACUCAACCCCGGUUGUGCCGUAGCCAACGCGUUAAGUAUACCGCCUGGGAAGUACAGUCGCAAGGCUG